RNAcentral lists this non-coding RNA (24 nucleotides) under Arabidopsis thaliana (thale cress). Lineage: Eukaryota; Viridiplantae; Streptophyta; Magnoliopsida; Brassicales; Brassicaceae. The record is from RNAcentral.
GGAGAUAUUUCGCUCAAGGUGUAC